Molecule: non-coding RNA, 246 nt
Organism: Vicia faba (fava bean)
Lineage: Eukaryota; Viridiplantae; Streptophyta; Magnoliopsida; Fabales; Fabaceae
Source: the annotation of a GenBank genome assembly
AUGGAGAAUUGGAAACCUCCCAAAUCAUCUUCCACUCCUUCCUUCAACGGUAUUCUCUGGCCUUCUGUAGGGGAAUUUGUAACAGUGGCCAUAUUGGGAAAACUGGAUCAACUAUUGACACCAAAAGGACUUUCAAGUUUCAAUCACAAUUGCACCAUUAGGAGUAGUUUCUGCAUUCUUAUUUGCUACACCCUUGGCCCCUUCUGCACGGAUACGUCUAUUACUACUAUCUCCUUUCGGGUUUAA